AGCGAACGCUGGCGGCAGGCCUAACACAUGCAAGUCGAACGAACUCUUCGGAGUUAGUGGCGGACGGGUGAGUAACACGUGGGAACGUGCCUCUAGGUUCGGAAUAACUCAGGGAAACUUGUGCUAAUACCGAAUGUGCCCUUCGGGGGAAAGAUUUAUCGCCUUUAGAGCGGCCCGCGUCUGAUUAGCUAGUUGGUGAGGUAAAGGCUCACCAAGGCGACGAUCAGUAGCUGGUCUGAGAGGAUGAUCAGCCACAUUGGGACUGAGACACGGCCCAAACUCCUACGGGAGGCAGCAGUGGGGAAUCUUGCGCAAUGGGCGAAAGCCUGACGCAGCCAUGCCGCGUGAAUGAUGAAGGUCUUAGGAUUGUAAAAUUCUUUCACCGGGGACGAUAAUGACGGUACCCGGAGAAGAAGCCCCGGCUAACUUCGUG
Molecule: ribosomal RNA, 433 nt
Filed under: uncultured bacterium
Lineage: Bacteria
Description: partial 16S ribosomal RNA
Rfam family: Bacterial small subunit ribosomal RNA
Source: RNAcentral